RNAcentral lists this ribosomal RNA (583 nucleotides) under uncultured bacterium. Its description in RNAcentral is "bacterial SSU rRNA". It matches the Rfam family "Bacterial small subunit ribosomal RNA", at positions 61 to 685 of the family's 1533-position model. The record is from RNAcentral.
GUCGAACGUACAGAACUUUGGUUGAUAACUGGGCGGACGGGUGAGUAACGCGUGGGUACCUGCCUCACACUGGGGGAUAACAGUCAGAAAUGACUGCUAAUACCGCAUAAGAUUGCAUGAUAAAAACUCCGGUGGUGUGAGAUGGACCCGCGUUGGAUUAGCCAGUUGGCAGGGUAACGGCCUACCAAAGCGACGAUCCAUAGCCGGCCUGAGAGGGUGGACGGCCACAUUGGGACUGAGACACGGCCCAGACUCCUACGGGAGGCAGCAGUGGGGAAUAUUGCACAAUGGGGGAAACCCUGAUGCAGCGACGCCGCGUGAAGGAAGAAGUAUCUCGGUAUGUAAACUUCUAUCAGCAGGGAAGAAAAUGACGGUACCUGACUAAGAAGCCCCGGCUAACUACGUGCCAGCAGCCGCGGUAAUACGUAGGGGGCAAGCGUUAUCCGGAUUUACUGGGUGUAAAGGGAGCGUAGACGGAGCAGCAAGUCUGAUGUGAAAGGCGGGGCUCAACCCCCGGACUGCAUUGGAAACUGUUGAUCUUGAGUACCGGAGAGGUAAGCGGAAUUCCUAGUGUAGCGGUGAA